GUCGAGCGGCGGACGGGUGAGUAAUGCCUAGGAAAUUGCCCUGAUGUGGGGGAUAACCAUUGGAAACGAUGGCUAAUACCGCAUGAUGCCUACGGGCCAAAGAGGGGGACCUUCGGGCCUCUCGCGUCAGGAUAUGCCUAGGUGGGAUUAGCUAGUUGGUGAGGUAAGGGCUCACCAAGGCGACGAUCCCUAGCUGGUCUGAGAGGAUGAUCAGCCACACUGGAACUGAGACACGGUCCAGACUCCUACGGGAGGCAGCAGUGGGGAAUAUUGCACAAUGGGCGCAAGCCUGAUGCAGCCAUGCCGCGUGUGUGAAGAAGGCCUUCGGGUUGUAAAGCACUUUCAGUCGUGAGGAAGGUAGUGUAGUUAAUAGCUGCAUUAUUUGACGUUAGCGACAGAAGAAGCACCGGCUAACUCCGUGCCAGCAGCCGCGGUAAUACGGAGGGUGCGAGCGUUAAUCGGAAUUACUGGGCGUAAAGCGCAUGCAGGUGGUUUGUUAAGUCAGAUGUGAAAGCCCGGGGCUCAACCUCGGAAUAGCAUUUGAAACUGGCAGACUAGAGUACUGUAGAGGGGGGGUAGAAUUUCAGGUGUAGCGGUGAAAUGCGUAGAGAUCUGAAGGAAUACCGGUGGCGAAAGGCGGCCCCCUGGACAGAUACUGACACUCAGAUGCGAAAGCGUGGGGAGCAAACAGGAUUAGAUACCCUGGUAGUCCACGCCGUAAACGAUGUCUACUUGGAGGUUGUGGCCUUGAGCCGUGGCUUUCGGAGCUAACGCGUUAAGUAGACCGCCUGGGGAGUACGGUCGCAAGAUUAAAACUCAAAUGAAUUGACGGGGGCCCGCACAAGCGGUGGAGCAUGUGGUUUAAUUCGAUGCAACGCGAAGAACCUUACCUACUCUUGACAUCCAGAGAACUUUCCAGAGAUGGAUUGGUGCCUUCGGGAACUCUGAGACAGGUGCUGCAUGGCUGUCGUCAGCUCGUGUUGUGAAAUGUUGGGUUAAGUCCCGCAACGAGCGCAACCCUUAUCCUUGUUUGCCAGCGAGUAAUGUCGGGAACUCCAGGGAGACUGCCGGUGAUAAACCGGAGGAAGGUGGGGACGACGUCAAGUCAUCAUGGCCCUUACGAGUAGGGCUACACACGUGCUACAAUGGCGCAUACAGAGGGCGGCCAACUUGCGAAAGUGAGCGAAUCCCAAAAAGUGCGUCGUAGUCCGGAUUGGAGUCUGCAACUCGACUCCAUGAAGUCGGAAUCGCUAGUAAUCGUGGAUCAGAAUGCCACGGUGAAUACGUUCCCGGGCCUUGUACACACCGCCCGUCACACCAUGGGAGUGGGCUGCAAAAGAAGUAGGUAGUUUAACCUUCGGGGGGACGCUUAC
Molecule: ribosomal RNA, 1373 nt
Filed under: Vibrio natriegens
Lineage: Bacteria; Pseudomonadati; Pseudomonadota; Gammaproteobacteria; Vibrionales; Vibrionaceae
Description: 16S ribosomal RNA
Rfam family: Bacterial small subunit ribosomal RNA
Source: RNAcentral